RNAcentral lists this microRNA precursor (100 nucleotides) under Pelobates cultripes (western spadefoot toad). Lineage: Eukaryota; Metazoa; Chordata; Amphibia; Anura; Pelobatidae. The record is from RNAcentral.
UCUGACAGCUUACUGCUCACGGGAGAAGUGAAGACAGCCUGCAGCUCCUCUAGCUGCAGGCUGUCUUCACUUCUCCUGUGAGCAGAAUGCUGUCUGAGCA